UACGGGAGGCAGCAGUGGGGAAUAUUGCACAAUGGGCGCAAGCCUGAUGCAGCCAUGCCGCGUGUAUGAAGAAGGCCUUCGGGUUGUAAAGUACUUUCAGUCGUGAGGAAGGUGUUAAGGUUAAUAACCUUAGCAAUUGACGUUAGCGACAGAAGAAGCACCGGCUAACUCCGUGCCAGCAGCCGCGGUAAUACGGAGGGUGCGAGCGUUAAUCGGAAUUACUGGGCGUAAAGGGCACGCAGGCGGUUAAUUAAGUUGGAUGUGAAAUCCCCGGGCUUAACCUGGGAAUGGCAUUCAAGACUGGUUAGCUAGAGUCUUGUAGAGGGGGGUAGAAUUCCAUGUGUAGCGGUGAAAUGCGUAGAGAUGUGGAGGAAUACCGGUGGCGAAGGCGGCCCCUGGACAAAGACUGACGCUCAUGUGCGAAAGCGUGGGGAGCGAAAC
RNAcentral lists this ribosomal RNA (441 nucleotides) under uncultured bacterium. RNAcentral describes it as "bacterial SSU rRNA". It matches the Rfam family "Bacterial small subunit ribosomal RNA", at positions 340 to 774 of the family's 1533-position model. The record is from RNAcentral.